AGUGAACGCUGGCGGUAGGCCUAACACAUGCAAGUCGAACGGCAGCACAGUAAGAGCUUGCUCUUACGGGUGGCGAGUGGCGGACGGGGGAGGUAUACAUCGGAAUCUACUUUUUCGUGGGGGAUAACGUAGGGAAACUUACGCUAAUACCUCAUACGACCUACGGGUGAAAGCAGGGGAUCUUCGGACCUUGCGCGAUCGAAUGAGCCGAUGUCGGAUUAGCUAGGUGGCGGGGUAAAGGCCCACCAAGGCGACGAUCCGUAGCUGGUCUGAGAGGAUGACCAGCCAGAGUGGGAGUGAGACACGGUCCAGACUGCGACGGGAGGCAGACGUCGGGAGUAUGGGACAAUGGGCGCAAGCCUGAUACAGCCAUACCGCGUGGGUGAAGAAGGCCUUCGGGUUGUAAAGCCCUUUUGUUGGGAAAGAAAAGCAGCAGGUUAAUACCCUGCUGUUCUGACGGUACCCAAGGAAUAAGCACCGGCUAACUUCG
Molecule: ribosomal RNA, 490 nt
Filed under: uncultured bacterium
Lineage: Bacteria
Description: partial 16S ribosomal RNA
Rfam family: Bacterial small subunit ribosomal RNA
Source: RNAcentral